RNAcentral lists this ribosomal RNA (466 nucleotides) under uncultured bacterium. Its description in RNAcentral is "bacterial SSU rRNA". It matches the Rfam family "Bacterial small subunit ribosomal RNA", at positions 338 to 795 of the family's 1533-position model. The record is from RNAcentral.
CCUACGGGUUGCAGCAGUGGGGAAUAUUGGACAAUGGGGGCAACCCUGAUCCAGCCAUGCCGCGUGUGUGAAGAAGGCCUUUUGGUUGUAAAGCACUUUAAGCAGGGAGGAGAGGCUAAUGGUUAAUACCCAUUAGAUUAGACGUUACCUGCAGAAUAAGCACCGGCUAACUCUGUGCCAGCAGCCGCGGUAAUACAGAGGGUGCGAGCGUUAAUCGGAAUUGCUGGGCGUAAAGCGAGUGUAGGUGGCUCAUUAAGUCACAUGUGAAAUCCCCGGGCUUAACCUGGGAACUGCAUGUGAUACUGGUGGUGCUAGAAUAUGUGAGAGGGAAGUAGAAUUCCAGGUGUAGCGGUGAAAUGCGUAGAGAUCUGGAGGAAUACCGAUGGCGAAGGCAGCUUCCUGGCAUAAUAUUGACACUGAGAUUCGAAAGCGUGGGGAGCAAACAGGAUUAGAUACCCCAGUAGUC